This 394-nucleotide ribosomal RNA is filed under the name Megalops cyprinoides (Indo-Pacific tarpon). Its description in RNAcentral is "partial 16S ribosomal RNA". It matches the Rfam family "Bacterial large subunit ribosomal RNA", at positions 1962 to 2502 of the family's 2925-position model. Lineage: Eukaryota; Metazoa; Chordata; Actinopteri; Elopiformes; Megalopidae. The record is from RNAcentral.
UAAUCACCUGUCUUUUAAAUGAAGACCUGUAUGAAAGGCACCACGAGGGCUCAACUGUCUCCUACCCCCAGUCAAUGAAAUUGAUCUGCCCGUGCAGAAGCGGACAUAAAAACAUAAGACGAGAAGACCCUGUGGAGCUUAAGGCACAAGGCCAACCACGCCAAGCACCACCCAAAAGACACAAGCACAACAGCCACUGGCCCCACAUGCCUUCGGUUGGGGCGACCGCGGAGAAAAACAAAACCUCCACGUGGACCAAGGACACAGUCCUCAAAACCAAGAGACACAACUCCAAGCAGCAGAAAAUCUGACCAAAAAGACCCAGGCCCAAACACGCCUGAUCAACGAACCAAGUUACCCCAGGGAUAACAGCGCAAUCCUUUCCAAGAGUCCA